AAAUUCAGAACUUCCUAAUUAAGAACAACUCGGAUGCCCAGAAGCAACCUUCCCUUUCUGCCUGAUGAUGCAAAGGAAGCCACUGAGAUCAGUUCUCCUUAAGCUAUAGUCCCAGAACAUAAUGCUAUGGAAAAGUAUCUCAACAGAAUUGUUUCCUCCAAAGUAUAUCAAAGAUGAAGGCAUACUCACUAGUGACAUUUUAAGAGAUGAAGAAUGAUUGAAAAUCACAUUGAAGACAAUAGCUCAAUACCAUUCUUGCAGGAUACUCAAGA
Pogoniulus pusillus (Red-fronted tinkerbird) is the source of this 272-nucleotide long non-coding RNA. RefSeq lists it as uncharacterized. Lineage: Eukaryota; Metazoa; Chordata; Aves; Piciformes; Lybiidae. The record is from RefSeq and is a predicted model, not a curated record. The transcript is spliced from 3 exons.